AUGGAAGAAGCACAAGGUGAUAAACGAAACAAGCCUCCUGACUCGUUUGCCGAGAGUGGCGUCAUANNNNNNNNNNNNNNNNNNCCUAUAACAAAAGCUAAGAUCUCCAUAAGAACAACCACCAUCGAGAGGGUCUUCUGGGCAAGUUUUGAAGACAUUCCAAAUGACCUCAAGUCUUGCUUCCUCUACUUGGCCGCCAUCCCAAAGAAUACAACUAUAUAUGCUGAUGAUGUUGUGAGGAUUUGGAUGGCUGAGGGUUUCAUCAAGCCGCGGCAGGGCAAGACUUUGGAGGAGCUGGGUCACACCUACCUCAAGGAACUGGUGUUGAGAUGCCUUGUUCAUAUUGAUAAGAUGAACAAUGUUGGCAUCAUUGAGAAGGUCAUCGUUCACCGAAGCCUCUAUGGGUUCCCCCAUUCAGAGGCUCGCGAGGCUGGAUUCAUGGAUGUUCAUGGCAUGAAUGAAAUCUUUGUUCCACCAUUGGUGCGCCAGUUCUCUUUCACGAGUUUCAAAGGUGGACACACGACAUUCACCAACAAGUUCUGUAAGCUGCGUUCCAUCAUAUGCUGGGUCCAGGAGAAAGACCCGAGCAAUGACGGCCAAGGAGUGAACCAGAAGCACCGGCAAUCCGGCAUGAUCUCAAGUUUCUUUGUGUGUCCAAGUUCCUUCGUGUAA
Molecule: ribosomal RNA, 672 nt
Filed under: Triticum aestivum (bread wheat)
Lineage: Eukaryota; Viridiplantae; Streptophyta; Magnoliopsida; Poales; Poaceae
Description: partial small subunit ribosomal RNA
Source: RNAcentral